UACGGAGGGUGCGAGCGUUGUCCGGAAUCACUGGGCGUAAAGGGCGCGUAGGCGGCUGGGGAAGUCGGCGGUGAAAGCCCGGAGCUCAACUCCGGGUCGGCCGUCGAGACUCCUCGGCUCGAGCUCACUAGAGGCAGAUGGAAUUCCGGGUGUAGCGGUGGAAUGCGUAGAGAUCCGGAAGAACACCGGUGGCGAAGGCGGUCUGCUGGGGUGAAGCUGACGCUGAUGCGCGACAGCGUGGGGAGCAAACGGG
Molecule: ribosomal RNA, 253 nt
Filed under: uncultured bacterium
Lineage: Bacteria
Description: partial 16S ribosomal RNA
Rfam family: Bacterial small subunit ribosomal RNA
Source: RNAcentral